RNAcentral lists this non-coding RNA (108 nucleotides) under Lysobacter antibioticus. RNAcentral describes it as "Glycine sequence". It matches the Rfam family "Glycine riboswitch aptamer". Rfam says of the family: This family represents the bacterial glycine riboswitch. The record is from RNAcentral. Lineage: Bacteria; Pseudomonadati; Pseudomonadota; Gammaproteobacteria; Lysobacterales; Lysobacteraceae.
CCCACCGUUGCAGAAGAGUGGCGCCGGCCUGCGGCCGAUGCCCGCCGAAGGCGCAGGCUCCCAUAAUCGCUCAGGCUCGGCCUUUCAUCGGCCGGAACACUGCAACGA